Molecule: ribosomal RNA, 448 nt
Filed under: uncultured bacterium
Lineage: Bacteria
Description: bacterial SSU rRNA
Rfam family: Bacterial small subunit ribosomal RNA
Source: RNAcentral
UGGGGAAUCUUGGACAAUGGGGGCAACCCUGAUCCAGCGAUGCCGCGUGGGUGAAGAAGGCCUUCGGGUUGUAAAGCCCUUUAGGUUGGGAAGAAGUUUGCGGGAGGAAAUGCCCGUAGAUUGACGGUACCAACAGAAUAAGCACCGGCAAACUCUGUGCCAGCAGCCGCGGUAAUACAGAGGGUGCGAGCGUUAAUCGGAGUUACUGGGCGUAAAGGGCGCGUAGGCGGAUAUAUGAGUGUGAUGUGAAAGCCCUGGGCUUAACCUGGGAAGUGCAUCGCAAACGAUAUAUCUGGAGUAUAUGAGAGGGUGGCGGAAUUUCCGGUGUAGCGGUGAAAUGCGUAGAGAUCGGAAGGAACGUCGAUGGCGAAGGCAGCCACCUGGCAUAAUACUGACGCUGAGGCGCGAAAGCGUGGGGAGCGAACAGGAUUAGAUACCCCCGUAGUCC